GUGGCCGUAGCUCAGUUGGUAGAGUCCCGGGUUGUGAUCCCGGCUGUCGUGGGUUCGAGUCCCAUCGGCCACCCCA
This 76-nucleotide transfer RNA is filed under the name Burkholderiales bacterium. RNAcentral describes it as "tRNA-His". It matches the Rfam family "tRNA". From Rfam's summary of the family: Transfer RNA (tRNA) molecules are approximately 80 nucleotides in length. Their secondary structure includes four short double-helical elements and three loops (D, anti-codon, and T loops). The record is from RNAcentral. Lineage: Bacteria; Pseudomonadati; Pseudomonadota; Betaproteobacteria; Burkholderiales.